Molecule: non-coding RNA, 567 nt
Organism: Anolis sagrei ordinatus
Lineage: Eukaryota; Metazoa; Chordata; Lepidosauria; Squamata; Anolidae
Source: RefSeq, a predicted model, not a curated record
CUCACAAGUCGAAGCUGCGGUGAAGAUAGAUGCUGGUUGUUUUUAAUUAAACCUGAUGGCUAUGUCUUCAGGGGAUCAACCAGCUCAUAGGCCUUAUCCGUCUGUAGUGAUUUGCUUUUCGCAUUGAUGACAAGUAGAAAUUUAACAGAGAAAGCUGAUAUAGACCUGGUGAUGUACACAUGGAGAUAUUUCUGCCUGCAGAAUUUUUCCUGGUUACACAGCCACUCCAUGCAUAGAAAUAUUAAAUAUUGACUUCAAGAUCUAGAAAGACUCAAAUAGCUGGCUUACCAAACCCAUUACAUGGUUCCACAGUGUCAUUCCUACCCAUGAAUAUUUCUGUGUAGAAGAUGGAGAAAGCAUUUAAGAAUCUGCAUAUUAAGCUGAAGUCAUGUGGAAACACUGGAGAUGAAAUUUGACCUUCAUCCUGAAGAUGGCCAUCAAAAUGGUGUGGGGAGAAGCCGAUCUAUCUAUCUGUCUGGAAUUGAGAAGAGAUAAAAUAUUCAGCUAAGUGUAUGUAUCACAUAAGACUAUAAUAACCCAUGUAAGAGCUCAUUUGGGGAGCUGACU